RNAcentral lists this ribosomal RNA (253 nucleotides) under uncultured bacterium. Its description in RNAcentral is "partial 16S ribosomal RNA". It matches the Rfam family "Bacterial small subunit ribosomal RNA", at positions 524 to 776 of the family's 1533-position model. The record is from RNAcentral.
UACAGAGGUCUCAAGCGUUGUUCGGAUUCAUUGGGCGUAAAGGGUGCGUAGGCGGUCUGCUAAGUUUGAUGUGAAAUCCCGGGGCUCAACCCUGGAAUUGCAUUGAAUACUGGUGGACUAGAGUACUGGAGAGGAAACUGGAAUUUACGGUGUAGCAGUGAAAUGCGUAGAGAUCGUAAGGAAGACCAGUGGCGAAGGCGAGUUUCUGGACAGUAACUGACGCUGAGGCACGAAGGCCAGGGGAGCAAACGGG